This 343-nucleotide ribosomal RNA is filed under the name uncultured Desulfovibrio sp. RNAcentral describes it as "bacterial SSU rRNA". It matches the Rfam family "Bacterial small subunit ribosomal RNA", at positions 1039 to 1382 of the family's 1533-position model. Lineage: Bacteria; Pseudomonadati; Thermodesulfobacteriota; Desulfovibrionia; Desulfovibrionales; Desulfovibrionaceae. The record is from RNAcentral.
UGCUGCAUGGCUGUCGUCAGCUCGUGCCGUGAGGUGUUGGGUUAAGUCCCGCAACGAGCGCAACCCUCGCCUUUAGUUGCCAGCAUUCAGUUGGGCACUCUAGAGGGGACUGCCGGUGUCAAACCGGAGGAAGGUGGGGAUGACGUCAAGUCCUCAUGGCCUUUAUGUCUAGGGCUACACACGUACUACAAUGGCCGGUACAAAGGGCAGCCACUCAGCGAUGAGGCGCUAAUCCCAUAAAGCCGGUCUCAGUCCGGAUCGCAGUCUGCAACUCGACUGCGUGAAGUUGGAAUCGCUAGUAAUCGUAGAUCAGCAUGCUACGGUGAAUACGUUCCCGGGCCUU